UUUGAUCAUUUUGCACACUGGUGGAGCCAAGUAUCAGGUGAUACAGGCACCACUCAGUAUCACCCUGUUGACUAUUAUUAUCAUUGUCAUUAUUAUUAUUA
Molecule: small nucleolar RNA, 101 nt
Organism: Sorex fumeus (smoky shrew)
Lineage: Eukaryota; Metazoa; Chordata; Mammalia; Eulipotyphla; Soricidae
Product: small nucleolar RNA SNORD67
Exons: 1
Source: RefSeq, a predicted model, not a curated record